GUCCACGCCGUAAACGAUGGACACUAGGCGUCGGGGGAGCGACCCUCCCGGUGCCGUCGCUAACGCAGUAAGUGUCCCGCCUGGGGAGUACGGCCGCAAGGCUGAAACUCAAAGGAAUUGACGGGGGCCCGGCACAAGCGGUGGAGCAUGUGGUUUAAUUCGAAGCAACGCGAAGAACCUUACCUGGGCUUGACAUGCUGGUGCAAGCCGGUGGAAACAUCGGCCCCUCUUCGGAGCGCCAGCACAGGUGCUGCAUGGCUGUCAU
RNAcentral lists this ribosomal RNA (265 nucleotides) under uncultured bacterium. Its description in RNAcentral is "partial 16S ribosomal RNA". It matches the Rfam family "Bacterial small subunit ribosomal RNA", at positions 793 to 1055 of the family's 1533-position model. The record is from RNAcentral.